RNAcentral lists this long non-coding RNA (981 nucleotides) under Ananas comosus (pineapple). RNAcentral's name for it is "long non-coding RNA (ACOM_LNC022656)". The record is from RNAcentral. Lineage: Eukaryota; Viridiplantae; Streptophyta; Magnoliopsida; Poales; Bromeliaceae.
GAAGAGGCAGGGGUGAUGCAUGUAGAUGUUUUACAUGUAGUGUAGUAAUAGAUACAGUUGUUAUAGCAAGAUGCAUGUCUAAGAAGAUGCGCGUACGGGCAUUUGCAGCAGCUAGCUAGCAGCCAUGAUCAUGUGUGUAUACAGUUAAUUAGUGGAUCUGCACGUCCUCUUCGAGAAAGCCAAGAGGCCACCAGCCGCCGGUGUAUCGUCGGAAGCCGCAGGCAUCGAGGGCGGAGGCGAACUUUUUGAGGCCCGACGUUUCCGGAGGGUUGAAUUUGCUGAUUCUGUUGUACAUCUCUUUGUAGCACAUGAAGUCCACCUUGAUGUCCGUUAUCACGUUGGAAAAGGCCCAGCUCCAUGAUGGCCAAGCCACGGCCUGCUCCGGCUGGCUCAUCAGCACUAGCCACGCCACCGCCGCCACCGCCAACCACCCGCUCCUCUUCGUUGUCGUCAUCCUCUUCGUAAGUAGUUGAUCCCCUCCUCGAUCCCUCCCUGUUUUUUUUUUUCUUUUUCGAUUACUCUAUAAUUUAUUGCUCUCCUCUCUCUGCCUUUUUAGGAUUGCGGCGCAUGCCAUUUUAUAGACACAGUUUGGUAGUAGCAAGCAAGUUUUAUACUUAAGUUACAUCUAAUGCCAAUAUUUUCAUAAUCCUGCUGAAGAUAAAUUUUUGUAUUUGAGUAUGACAUAAUUGUUAUGCUUGCGUUUGCUAUUAAUUAAUUAAGCGAUACGUAUUGUUUUGCAACAAACAAAAUUAAUUAAAUGUCGGUUAGCUUCAAAUACAUGCUUUUAACCUAAUAAAAAAAUUUAGCUCUUUUGCAAACGCUUGGAAACUUUAACAUUAGCAAAUUAAUUAGAUUUCUUAAAUUUUAUUAAAUAGUUGAAUACAUAGGCCUCUCUCCCCACUUGAAUUGCAUUCAUUGUCCCUUUAAGUCGAUAUUUUGAAUAUAAUCUUAUAGAAAUAAAAAAUUGAAGUUAGAUUCAUC